CGAACGGAGCGCCGGACACGGACUAUUUCGGUAGGAAGCGUGCGGAGGCUUAGUGGCGGACGGGUGAGUAACGCGUGGAUAACCUGCCGCAUACCGGGGGAUAACAGCUGGAAACAGCUGCUAAUACCGCAUAUGCCCGCAGUGCCGCAUGGCACAGCGGGGAAAACUCCGGUGGUAUGCGAUGGGUCCGCGUCUGAUUAGGCAGUUGGCGGGGUAACGGCCCACCAAACCGACGAUCAGUAGCCGGCCUGAGAGGGCGGACGGCCACACUGGGACUGAGACACGGCCCAGACUCCUGCGGGAGGCAGCAGUGGGGAAUAUUGCACAAUGGGGGAAACCCUGAUGCAGCGACGCCGCGUGAAGGAAGAAGUAUCUCGGUAUGUAAACUUCUAUCAGCAGGGAAGAAAACAGACGGUACCUGACUAAGAAGCCCCGGCUAACUACGUGCCAGCAGCCGCGGUAAUACGUAGGGGGCAAGCGUUAUCCGGAUUUACUGGGUGUAAAGGGGGCGCAGACGGCCAUGGCAAGCCCGGUGUGAAAGGCAGGGGCAUAACCCCCUGGACUGCACUGGGAACUGUCAGGCUGGAGUGCCGGAGGGGUAAGCGGAAUUCCUGGUGUAGCGGUGAAAUGCGUAGAUUUCUGGGGGAACACCGGCGGCGAAGGCGGCUUACUGGACGGCAACU
RNAcentral lists this ribosomal RNA (683 nucleotides) under uncultured bacterium. Its description in RNAcentral is "bacterial SSU rRNA". It matches the Rfam family "Bacterial small subunit ribosomal RNA", at positions 63 to 741 of the family's 1533-position model. The record is from RNAcentral.